Molecule: non-coding RNA, 627 nt
Organism: Grammomys surdaster
Lineage: Eukaryota; Metazoa; Chordata; Mammalia; Rodentia; Muridae
Source: the annotation of a RefSeq genome assembly
UUCUGUCUGCUUUGCAUGGUUUCCUCCAGCCCAGCCCAGCUGCUCAGAAUUUAUAAAGCAGGCCUUUUCAUUGUGACUGAACUGCAUCAGAUAGGCAGGGGGAACAAGAUGGAAUCACAGACCCAGGUCCUCAUGUUCCUGCUGCUCUGGGUAUCUGGUACCUGUGGGGACAUUGUGAUGACUCAGUCUCCAUCUUCCCUGGCUGUAUCAGCAAGAGAGAAGGUCACUAUGAGCUGCAAGUCCAGUCAGAGUCUUUUAUGGAGUGAAGACCAGAAGAACUACAUGGCCUGGUACCAGCAGAAACCAGGGCAGUCUCCUAAACUGCUAAUCUACUAUGCAUCCACUAGAGCAUCUGGGGUCCCUGAUCGCUUCAUAGGCAGUGGAUCUGGGACAGAUUUCACUCUGACCAUCAGCAGUGUGCAGGCUGAAGAUCUGGCAUAUUAUUACUGUCAACAGAGUUAUAAUACUCCACCCACAGUGCUUCAGCCUCCUACACAAACCUCCUUGAAAGUUUUAAACAGAUGUGUACACCACACAGCCCUGGGCAUGCACACUUCUCCCUUCUGCCUUAGACCUUUCAUGCCUGAAAAACUGACAAAAAUGUUUACAGAGCCCAGUAAAAACUAA